GGCGGACGGGUGAGGAAUACAUCGGAAUCUACUCUGUCGUGGGGGAGUAACGUAGGGAAACUUACGCUAAUACCGCAUACGACCUACGGUGAAAGCAGGGAUCUUCGGACCUUGCGCGAUUGAAUGAGCCGAUGUCGGAUUAGCUAGUUGGCGGGGUAAAGGCCCACCAAGGCGACGAUCCGUAGCUGGUCUGAGAGGAUGAUCAGCCACACUGGAACUGAGACACGGUCCAGACUCCUACGGGAGGCAGCAGAC
Molecule: ribosomal RNA, 255 nt
Filed under: uncultured Stenotrophomonas sp.
Lineage: Bacteria; Pseudomonadati; Pseudomonadota; Gammaproteobacteria; Lysobacterales; Lysobacteraceae
Description: partial 16S ribosomal RNA
Rfam family: Bacterial small subunit ribosomal RNA
Source: RNAcentral